AACGAACGCUGGCGGCAUGCCUAACACAUGCAAGUCGAACGAAGCCUUCGGGCUUAGUGGCGCACGGGUGCGUAACGCGUGGGAAUCUGCCCUUGGGUUCGGAAUAACAGUUGGGAACGACUGCUAAUACCGGAUGAUGACGAAAGUCCAAAGAUUUAUCGCCAGAGGAUGAGCCCGCGUAGGAUUAGCUAGUUGGUGUGGUAGAGGCGCACCAAGGCGACGAUCCUUAGCUGGUCUGAGAGGAUGAUCAGCCACACUGGGACUGAGACACGGCCCAGACUCCUACGGGAGGCAGCAGUGGGGAAUAUUGGACAAUGGGCGAAAGCCUGAUCCAGCAAUGCCGCGUGAGUGAUGAAGGCCCUAGGGUUGUAAAGCUCUUUUACCCGGGAUGAUAAUGACAGUACCGGGAGAAUAAGCCCCGGCUAACUCCGUGCCAGCCGCCGCAGUAA
This 449-nucleotide ribosomal RNA is filed under the name uncultured bacterium. RNAcentral describes it as "partial 16S ribosomal RNA". It matches the Rfam family "Bacterial small subunit ribosomal RNA", at positions 29 to 523 of the family's 1533-position model. The record is from RNAcentral.